UGUCAUCCCCUUAUAUAAAGACUCUCUUUCAUUUUUUCCCUCUCUUUGGCUUUUGUUGGGCCUAGUUUAUUCUCUUUCAAGGACUCUUGACUCUCCCUUUUCUUUCUCUCUCUAAGAAUUCAUCAAAAGCCCUUUUAACUUUUACUUGAUCUCAGUGCACCUCUCGUGGUGAGAGGGGUGUGAGGACAUGGAUGAGGUUGUCCUUUUAUAAAUAAU
This 216-nucleotide long non-coding RNA is filed under the name Carica papaya (papaya). RNAcentral's name for it is "long non-coding RNA (CPAP_LNC009273)". The record is from RNAcentral. Lineage: Eukaryota; Viridiplantae; Streptophyta; Magnoliopsida; Brassicales; Caricaceae.